UUAAGUUCAGCGGGUAGUCCUACUUGAUUUGAGGUACAUUGUUCAAAGUAUUGUCCAGUGAAGGACUGUUAGAAGCCAAACUUCAUUACAACUAUGCAGUGAAGAUAUUAUCACACCACACGUAACGUUGUAACUUGAUUCAACUAAUGCAUUCAAGGGAAGCCAGGACCUAAUGAAAGGCCAGCAAUCCCCAAAUCCAA
Molecule: unclassified non-coding RNA, 200 nt
Filed under: Agaricomycetes sp.
Lineage: Eukaryota; Fungi; Basidiomycota; Agaricomycetes
Description: partial internal transcribed spacer 2
Source: RNAcentral